UUGAUCCUGGCUCAGAAUCAACGCUGGCGGCGUGCCUAACACAUGCAAGUCGAACGAGAAAGUGGAGCAAUCCAUGAGUAAAGUGGCGACCGGGUGAGUUACACGUGACUAACCUACCUUCGAGUGGGGGAUAACCUCGGGAAACCGGGUCUAAUACCGCAUAAUGCCUUCGGGUUAAAGGAGCAAUUCGCUUGAAGAGUGGGUCGCGGCUGAUUAGCUAGUUGGCGGGGUAACGGCCCACCAAGGCGAUGAUCGGUAGCCGGCCUGAGAGGGCGCACGGCCACACUGGAACUGAAACAUGGUCCAGACUCCUACGGGAGGCAGCAGUGGGGAAUUUUGCGCAAUGGGGUAAACCCUGACGCAGCAACGCCGCGUGGAGGAUGAAGUCCCUUGGGACGUUAACUCCUUUCGACCGGGACGAUUAUGACGGUACCGGUGGAAGAAGCCCCUGCUAACUUCGUGCCAGCAGCCGCGGUAAUU
Molecule: ribosomal RNA, 480 nt
Filed under: uncultured Acidobacteriota bacterium
Lineage: Bacteria; Pseudomonadati; Acidobacteriota
Description: bacterial SSU rRNA
Rfam family: Bacterial small subunit ribosomal RNA
Source: RNAcentral